RNAcentral lists this ribosomal RNA (742 nucleotides) under uncultured bacterium. Its description in RNAcentral is "bacterial SSU rRNA". It matches the Rfam family "Bacterial small subunit ribosomal RNA", at positions 8 to 796 of the family's 1533-position model. The record is from RNAcentral.
AGAGUUUGAUCAUGGCUCAGAACGAACGCUGGCGGCAUGCCUAACACAUGCAAGUCGAACGAACCUUUCGGGGUUAGUGGCGCACGGGUGCGUAACGCGUGGGAAUCUGCCCUUAGGUACGGAAUAACUCAGGGAAACUUGAGCUAAUACCGUAUGAAGUCUUCGGACCAAAGAUUUAUCGCCUAAGGAUGAGCCCGCGUUGGAUUAGCUAGUUGGUGGGGUAAAGGCCCACCAAGGCGACGAUCCAUAGCUGGUCUGAGAGGAUGAUCAGCCACACUGGGACUGAGACACGGCCCAGACUCCUACGGGAGGCAGCAGUGGGGAAUAUUGGACAAUGGGCGAAAGCCUGAUCCAGCAAUGCCGCGUGAGUGAUGAAGGCCUUAGGGUUGUAAAGCUCUUUUACCCGGGAAGAUAAUGACUGUACCGGGAGAAUAAGCCCCGGCUAACUCCGUGCCAGCAGCCGCGGUAAUACGGAGGGGGCUAGCGUUGUUCGGAAUUACUGGGCGUAAAGCGUACGUAGGCGGCUUUGUAAGUUAGAGGUGAAAGCCCGGGGCUCAACCCCGGAAUUGCCUUUAAGACUGCAUCGCUUGAAUCGCGGAGAGGUGAGUGGAAUUCCGAGUGUAGAGGUGAAAUUCGUAGAUAUUCGGAAGAACACCAGUGGCGAAGGCGGCUCACUGGACGCGUAUUGACGCUGAGGUACGAAAGCGUGGGGAGCAAACAGGAUUAGAUACCCUAGUAGUCC